UACGGAGGGUGCGAGCGUUAAUCGGAAUUACUGGGCGUAAAGGGCGCGUAGGCGGUGGGUUACGUCUGCCGUGAAAUCCCCGGGCUCAACCUGGGAAUGGCGGUGGAAACGGGCUGACUGGAGUAUGGGAGAGGGUGAUGGAAUUUCAGGUGUAGCGGUGAAAUGCGUAGAGAUGUGGGAGAACACCAGUGGCGAAGGCGGUCUCCUGGCCCAAUUCUGACGCUGAGGCGCGAAAGCUUGGGAAGCAAACAGG
Molecule: ribosomal RNA, 253 nt
Filed under: uncultured bacterium
Lineage: Bacteria
Description: partial 16S ribosomal RNA
Rfam family: Bacterial small subunit ribosomal RNA
Source: RNAcentral